This 6051-nucleotide small RNA is filed under the name Pongo abelii (Sumatran orangutan). Its description in RNAcentral is "retained intron". The record is from RNAcentral. Lineage: Eukaryota; Metazoa; Chordata; Mammalia; Primates; Hominidae.
GGCGGGAAGACGCCCAGAGGCCAGCUUCGGUCCCCGUUCUGUCUCUCGGUUCCUCUUUCCUCCCAAGUAAGGGAAUACACCGCGAGGAAGGAGCGCCCCGGGCCACCGCGCAACCAAGUGUUGCCUGGUGAGGAAGAGCCAGGAUUUCUGAAUUUACCUUGAAUGCGGACAGGAGGAUGUUGCCUAAGGAAUAGCAGAGAUCUUGUCUCAUCUUCUGAGAGGUGCCUGCUGCUGCUGUAUACACUUGAGUCCUCCCAGAAGUCUCCUGAAAGGCUUACAUCGCAAACCUGCAAUGAGCCAGGCCCUAGGCUGGGCCUCCACUUCAGCCUAGUGAACAAAACUCCAUCACUGCCCUUUAGUCACUCACACAAAGCUUAAAAAUGGGUGAAGAACGGUGGGUCUCCCUCACUCCAGAAGAAUUUGACCAACUCCAGAAAUAUUCAGAAUAUUCCUCCAAGAAGAUAAAAGAUGUCUUGACUGAAUUUAAUAAGGGUGGGAGCCUCAAACAAUAUGACCCACAGGAGCCGAUUAGCUAUGAUGUCUUCAAGCUGUUCAUGAGGGCAUACCUGGAGGUGGACCUUCCCCAGCCACUGAGCACUCACCUCUUCCUGGCCUUCAGCCAGAAGCCCAGACAGGAGACCUCUGACCACCCGACGGAGGGAGCCAGCAACAGCGAGGCCAACAGCCCAGAUACUAAUAUACAGAAUGCAGAUAAUGCCACCAAAGCAGACGAGGCCUGUGCCCCUGAUACUGAAUCAAAUAUGGCUAAGAAGCAAGCACCAACUGAAGACCAAGUGGCUGCAACCCCCCUGGAACCCCCCGUCCCUCGGUCUUCAAGCUCGGAAUCCCCCAUGGUGUACCUGAAGGAUGUUGUGUGCUACCUGUCCCUGCUGGAGACGGGGAGGCCUCAGGAUAAGCUGGAGUUCAUGUUUCGCCUCUAUGAUUCAGAUGAGAACGGUCUCCUGGACCAAGCGGAGAUGGAUUGCAUUGUCAACCAAAUGCUGCAUAUUGCCCAGUACCUGGAGUGGGAUCCCACAGAGCUGAGGCCUAUAUUGAAGGAGAUGCUGCAAGGGAUGGACUACGACCGGGAUGGCUUUGUGUCUCUACAGGAAUGGGUCCACGGAGGGAUGACCACCAUCCCAUUGCUGGUCCUCCUGGGGAUGGAUGACUCUGGCUCCAAGGGGGAUGGGCGGCACGCCUGGACCAUGAAGCACUUCAAGAAACCAACCUACUGCAACUUCUGCCAUAUCAUGCUCAUGGGCGUCCGCAAGCAAGGCCUGUGCUGCACUUACUGUAAAUACACUGUCCACGAACGCUGUGUGUCCAAAAACAUUCCUGGUUGUGUCAAAACGUACUCAAAAGCCAAAAGGAGCGGUGAGUUUCACCGCAAAUGUGAAUUAUCAACGUUGUGUGACGGUGGGGAACUCAGAGACCACAUCUUGCUGCCCACCUCCAUAUGCCCCAUCACCCGGGACAGGCCAGGUGAGAAGUCUGAUGGCUGCGUGUCUGCCAAGGGCGAACUUGUCAUGCAGUAUAAGAUCAUCCCCACCCCGGGUACCCACCCCCUGCUGGUCUUGGUGAACCCCAAGAGUGGAGGGAGACAAGGAGAAAGAAUUCUUCGGAAAUUCCACUAUCUGCUCAACCCCAAACAAGUUUUCAACCUGGACAAUGGGGGGCCUACUCCAGGGUUGAACUUUUUCCAUGAUACUCCAGACUUCCGUGUUUUGGCCUGUGGUGGAGAUGGGACAGUUGGCUGGAUUUUGGAUUGCAUUGAUAAGGCCAACUUUGCAAAGCAUCCACCAGUGGCUGUCCUGCCUCUUGGAACAGGAAAUGACCUUGCCCGUUGUCUCCGCUGGGGAGGAGGUUAUGAAGGGGGCAGCUUGACGAAAAUCCUGAAGGACAUUGAGCAGAGCCCCUUGGUGAUGCUGGACCGCUGGCAUCUGGAAGUCAUCCCCAGAGAGGAAGUGGAAAACGGGGACCAGGUCCCAUACAGCAUCAUGAACAACUAUUUCUCCAUUGGUGUGGACGCUUCCAUUGCACACAGAUUCCAUGUGAUGAGAGAGAAACAUCCUGAAAAAUUCAACAGCAGGAUGAAGAACAAGCUGUGGUACUUUGAAUUUGGCACCUCGGAGACUUUUGCAGCGACCUGCAAGAAACUCCAUGACCACAUUGAGUUGGAGUGGUGCUAAGUGCCUCACGGAAUCUGCAAAGCAGCCCUAAGUGGCAGGUGUCAUAAUCACCUUUCCAGAGAAGGGGGACACAGGCUGAGAGAAGUGUGAUGGGGUUGGGGUGGACCUGAGCAACAUCUUCCUGGAAGGCAUUGCCAUUCUCAACAUUCCCAGCAUGUACGGAGGCACCAAUCUCUGGGGAGAAAACAAGAAGAACCGGGCUGUGAUCCGGGAAAGCAGGAAGGGUGUCACUGACCCCAAAGAACUGAAAUUCUGCGUUCAAGACCUCAGUGACCAACUCCUUGAAGUGGUGGGGCUAGAAGGAGCCAUGGAGAUGGGGCAGAUCUACACCGGCCUGAAGAGUGCAGGCAAGAGGCUGGCCCAGUGCUCCUCUGUCACCAUCAGGACAAACAAGCUGCUGCCAAUGCAAGUGGAUGGAGAACCCUGGAUGCAGCCAUGUUGCACGGUGAGUCUUGCCAAUCUUUGAGAUGGGGAUGAAAAGCCUUAUUUUUGAACCCUUUUGGGCACUGACUUAAUAUGAAAUCACUGAAUCUCGGAGUUGCAGGGACCAUGGAAGAUUAUCUAGUGCAACCCCUCUUCCACUUUAUUUAUCCAUCCACUCAUUUACCUGCCAACUCUUAAUGAACACCUGCUGUAUGCCAGACACUGUGAGGCACCGGUCACAAAAUUGAAAGAGACAUAGAACCAACUUCGAGGAGUUCACAGUUCUAGUCAGUGAAUUCUGAGACUUCAUCUACUGUAUCCUGGACAGCCUCAGCUUGAAUCAUGUCAAUGGCAAGGAAUUUACUACCUCAAAAGGAAGACUGUUCUGCUGAUGAACAAGUCAAAUUGCUUUCUUAUGUGGAAGCCAAAUCUACACACUUACCUUACCUAGAAUUUGGUAGGGUAGCUCCUUUGACUGCUGGAGCUCCUGGGAGAAAAUUCCUUGCAGAGCACAGACAUGCCUCCCAAUCGGUGCACCCAAAGCUCUGAUAACCUACUUGAAAAUUCCACUGAAUGAGUCACCACGCAGGUUAUCUAUUUUGUUUAUGGCACUGUCACCCAGAACGUAGAACAGUGCCUGGUUUGUAAUAGUUGCACAAUAAUAUAUGUCAAAUGAUGAAUAAAAGACUGAACAAAUGAACUAACAAAAAUAGAGUAUCUCCAUUCCCAGACUUACCGUAUCCGUUAGCUCUCCCUUUAGCACUAGUACAGGAGCCAUGCCUCCUUCCUUCUUAGUUUGUCCUCAGUUAGAAAUGCAGCUAGAAUCUCUGUGGUGAAGAGCAAUCGUUGUCCUGGUUUUCAGGGCCUCUGCUGGGAUACUACAUGCGUAAUACCCUCAAUAAGAUUGCAGCUAUGCAAAUUUCAAAAGACAAAAGUGGAGUUUCUAAGCUUCCUCACUCUAGUGGAGUAUUCACAUACUUUGAUCACCUGCUAUCUCGAGCCCUUCAGAACAUCAAGUUGUCUUCUACUAAAGGAGGGUUUCCAUGAACCUGCUAAGAAAAGGUAGCAUCUUCUAUAAAGGUUAUCAAAAACAGAAAUUUCUCUGCAAAAAUCUUACCUCAAUCUUAUGAAGACUAAGAAAAAAAUGAAAACACACUAUAUCAAAUAAUAGCUUUCCACCUUGCUGGAGUUAGGAUGGAUAGAGGGAAUUUCUACUAUUUAUCAUUUGAUGGAACUGAGUUGAGAAGAAUCUGUCCAAGUUCCUCCUAUCUCCAACCCCCCUACAAAAAAAAAGGUGGAAGAAAUCAAACCCUCUCCUACCUGGUUCAGUCCUAGCUGAAAACUGGAUUGCUAUUCCUAUAAAUUCAAGCACUGGAUUUUGAAAUAGCCAAAUACUUCUCCCUAUGCCCACACCCACCUUUCUUCUAUACCACCCUUUAGAGAUUACAACUCACUAUGAAAAAAUUUGUGAACCAAUGAUUUCAUAGUGUGAGGUCCAGAAAUCCAUAUGUAAAGGUAUAUUCGUCUGCUUUGACUGCCAUAAUAGAAUGCCACAGACUGACAGCUUAAACAACAGAAAUUUAUUUUCUCACAGUUCUGGAGGCUGACAACACAAGACCAAGGUGCUGGAAGGGCUGGUUUCUGGGGAGGCCUCUCUUCCCGACUUCCAACGGCUGCCUUCUUUUUGUAUCCUCACAUGGCUUUUCCUCUGUGUUUGCACAAUCCUUUCUCUUCUUAUAAGGACACCAGUUCUAAGGGAUUAGGUCCCCACCCUUGUGACCUCAUUUAACCUUAAUUACCUCCUUAAAGGCCCUAUAUACAAGUAUAGUCACAUUGGGGGUUAGGGAGUCAACAUAUGAAUUUGGGGGGGACGCAAUUUAUUCCAUAACAGAAGGUAACAGAAAAUCAUUCUUAAACUUGCAAGGGUUAAAACCCAUGUACCUCUUGUUGAAACAUCUUCUUGAAGGUAUACACCAACUAAGAAGUGAUUCAAAAUUAAAGCCUUAAGAAUGGACUAUCACUGCCCAAAAGAACUUUUGGUAAAAAUGGAAACCAGUAAAAUUGGAAUGAAGUUUCCAAAAACCUGCUAAAUAUGGUUAUGCAACUAAAUGCAAAUGGCAAAAAUCAUUCUUUGAAAGAGAAGACAUAUCAUGUAAAUAUUAAUAACCUGUAUCCCAAACCUAAGAUUAUAUUAACAAAGGCCAAAAACAUGCAGGAGACACUGCUGAAGGAAUAGUAAAGAUACGUGAAGUUUCUCAUUGUCUCUCUUCACUGAUGAUAAAACAUAUAAAUCAGAAGAUAAUUUUAAUAGACAAUCACUAGUGAAACUAAAAAUCGGGCGCACACCUUUCAAAUCUGGAAGAAUUUAAAAUAUAUAAACCCUAUUAAUGUAGCACAGGAUAGAAAGCAAAAAAUAAGCCAACAUUUAAAAAUUUUUUGAAGCAAGUUGAAUGAUGUUAAGACUGUAUAUAUAUAAUAUAUAUAUAAAAGAAAAAUAGAUGAGUUAAAAUUCCCUAUUAAAAGAUCAAUACUCUCAUAUUGAGUUAAAAAUGAAAAUCCAAAUAUAUGCUUCUUACAAAAGAUACAUCUAAAAUGAAAGGUUAUACAUAUGUAUAUAUAAUAUAUAUCUUCUUAUUUUAUCCUUUAUCAGGUACAAAGAAAUUAAAAGGAAAAAAUAGUAAUGUUAAUUAUGCUAAUUUUAGGCAAACUAACCUUCCCAUGUGCCUAAAGCAUAAAGCAGAAUAAGUAAACACAUUUUUUAUUUGAUAAAAAGUACAUUCAAUUACGAGAUAUAGUGGUCAUAAAAUGUUAGAUAUUUAAUACCAGAAUCAAAAUAUAUUAAAAAACUAUCAAUACAUAUUCUGAGAAAACAUUGAUAUAGAAGUUGACAGACAGAUAUUGAGAAGCUUUAAAAUAUUUGUUUCCAUCUUUGAGGUUAAGUAGCAAAAAAAUAAAUGCUUGGAUGAAAUAACUCUAUAACCCAUAAAGAAAUUAAAUAUCAUAUUUGUUCAAGCAUUCAUAUUUACUAAAAUAGAUCACAAACUAGUUUACAAGGCAAAAAGCUCCAUAAAAUCCAGUUGCAGAAAUUAUAAAGGUCAUUUUCUUUGACCACAAAGUAAUAAAACUAGAAAUUACUAAUAGAAGAUUAAGUGAAUAAACAAAAUUUAGUCACUUGGAGACUUAAAAAUUCUCCUAAACAACAAGAGAUUUAUGAGGAGAUCAAAGCCACCAUGGUAGAUUACUCAAAAAAUUACAAAAAUAAGAAGACUCCAGUUUAAAAAUUAUAGAAUAUAGCCUAAAUUAUAUUUGGAAGUAAAUUAAAAGCCUCAUAAUCUUCCAUCAUAUAAAAAAGAAGUAAAAUGUAAUGAAUAAUACUAAAAUUAGAAGAGCAAUAAUAAAACAAUCUUAGGAGAAGCAGAAGGAAAAAAAUAAUAAAGAG